This 465-nucleotide ribosomal RNA is filed under the name Vreelandella stevensii. RNAcentral describes it as "partial 16S ribosomal RNA". It matches the Rfam family "Bacterial small subunit ribosomal RNA", at positions 338 to 795 of the family's 1533-position model. Lineage: Bacteria; Pseudomonadati; Pseudomonadota; Gammaproteobacteria; Oceanospirillales; Halomonadaceae. The record is from RNAcentral.
CCUACGGGGUGCUGCAGUGGGGAAUAUUGGACAAUGGGCGAAAGCCUGAUCCAGCCAUGCCGCGUGUGUGAAGAAGGCCUUCGGGUUGUAAAGCACUUUCAGUGGGGAAGAAAGCCUUGGGGCUAAUACCCUCGAGGAAGGACAUCACCCACAGAAGAAGCACCGGCUAACUCCGUGCCAGCAGCCGCGGUAAUACGGAGGGUGCGAGCGUUAAUCGGAAUUACUGGGCGUAAAGCGCGCGUAGGCGGUCUGAUAAGCCGGUUGUGAAAGCCCCGGGCUCAACCUGGGAACGGCAUCCGGAACUGUCAGGCUAGAGUGCAGGAGAGGGAGGUAGAAUUCCCGGUGUAGCGGUGAAAUGCGUAGAGAUCGGGAGGAAUACCAGUGGCGAAGGCGGCCUUCUGGACUGACACUGACGCUGAGGUGCGAAAGCGUGGGUAGCAAACAGGAUUAGAUACCCUAGUAGUC